RNAcentral lists this ribosomal RNA (164 nucleotides) under uncultured bacterium. RNAcentral describes it as "partial 16S rRNA". It matches the Rfam family "Bacterial small subunit ribosomal RNA", at positions 355 to 511 of the family's 1533-position model. The record is from RNAcentral.
UAGGGAAUCUUCGGUAAUGGACGAAAGUCUGACCGAGCAACGCCGCGUGAGUGAAGAAGGUUUUCGGAUCGUAAAACUCUGUUGUUAGAGAAGAACAAGGGUGAGAGUAACUGUUCACCCCUUGACGGUAUCUAACCAGAAAGCCACGGCUAACUACGUGCCAG